RNAcentral lists this ribosomal RNA (179 nucleotides) under Perilla frutescens var. auriculatodentata. RNAcentral's name for it is "5.8S ribosomal RNA". The stretch from base 1 to 151 matches the Rfam family "5.8S ribosomal RNA". From Rfam's summary of the family: 5.8S ribosomal RNA (5.8S rRNA) is a component of the large subunit of the eukaryotic ribosome. It is transcribed by RNA polymerase I as part of the 45S precursor that also contains 18S and 28S rRNA. Functionally, it is thought that 5.8S rRNA may be involved in ribosome translocation. The record is from RNAcentral. Lineage: Eukaryota; Viridiplantae; Streptophyta; Magnoliopsida; Lamiales; Lamiaceae.
UCGGCAACGGAUAUCUCGGCUCUCGCAUCGAUGAAGAACGUAGCGAAAUGCGAUACUUGGUGUGAAUUGCAGAAUCCUGUGAACCAUCGAGUCUUUGAACGCAAGUUGCGCCCGAAGCCAUUAGGCCGAGGGCACGUCUGCCUGGGCGUCACGCAUCGCGUCGCCCCCCUCCUCGCGCU